ACCCAUUUCCUUAAACAGAGCUGCAAAAAUACUUUCACUUUCCCUUUCGAUGGAUGUAAGGCGGUAACGAAUGAAAUAUAAGACAGCUGAGCUCUAUAAAACUGAAGAGGAGAGGGAAACAAAGGACUUCAGUUUGGAGGUGUAAAUUUUACCAUGAGUCAGUCUGAAGACAAAGCUGGAGGGGGGGGGGGACACGAGAGCUCGACCGAACCACACAAGACCCAGCAGCAGAGAUCAUCCGCUCCUGCACGCAGCCUUGAGUCCAUGAGAAGCAACCGUUCUAUGGAUUUCCAGCCUCAUUUUAAAGGACAAGAUUCUUCAGAAACGAAGUAUGUCUCUAUUUAAAGGAAACAUUCUGAGGGCAGUUAAAGUAUGUAUUGCUAUAUCUAUAUCUUAAUAAAAGCACUAAAUGAUA
Long non-coding RNA from Seriola aureovittata, 415 nucleotides. RefSeq lists it as uncharacterized. The transcript is spliced from 4 exons. The record is from RefSeq and is a predicted model, not a curated record. Lineage: Eukaryota; Metazoa; Chordata; Actinopteri; Carangiformes; Carangidae.